Molecule: long non-coding RNA, 1016 nt
Organism: Mangifera indica (mango)
Lineage: Eukaryota; Viridiplantae; Streptophyta; Magnoliopsida; Sapindales; Anacardiaceae
Exons: 4
Source: RefSeq, a predicted model, not a curated record
AAGUCAAAUUAUUGGUUAUAUUACUGUCUGGUAUCUUUUUUAUUAUUUCAAUUAUUUAAUCAUUUCAACUUUUUUUUUUCGAAAUUUACAUACAAGUAUCUUCAGUUUGCUGGUUGUGAAUAAUUCUGCUACAAAGUUUACUAACAAAUUUCGAAAUUGAAGUUUUAUUAGGUCAAUUGUUGAAUAUAUGUAUGUGUGUUUCUAUUUUUACAGCCUCCGAAGAAAUUUCCUUCUUGGUUUCAGAUUGAGGCAAACUUUGUACUCUCAAGGAAGCAAUGAAACAAGAAAACAGGUUAUUGGUAAUUGACAUUCUAUAUAGUUAUUUAAUGCUUCAUUUCAAAUGUUGUGCUUGAUAAUGAUUAAUGUUACGGGGGUGGGGAAGAUUCACUUUAUAUGAUUACAAUGUAACCUGUUUGAUCUCUGCUUUGAUGUCCCAUGUAAGCUCUCCCUUUUAUUAUAUAUAUGUAUUUUUUACAUGUCUGGGGAAAAUUCAGUUGUCAUCCCAAACUAGCACCUUUAAUUUUGAAUUAGGUGGAGAGAGGAAGUUUAAUGCUUUGUGGCUUUCUAAUUUACUUUAUUCUUCUGGGAUGAGGUCUUUGGGAAGAUUUGCAGUUUUUAUGUUCAGCAGUUAUUCUUUCUCCCUAACAAUGAUGGGAGAUGGAAAAAUAGAAUUGGAUACUGCUACGUGCUACAUUUCCCAAUCAACGGCAGUUUAUAAAUUAUGCAGCUUUUGUGUGGAGUAAAUUCUCCAAUGAGAUUCUAUUGAGGCUUGCUUUCCAUCUUCUGAGUUCAAUUUUCAUUGGAGUUUGUUGAACUUUGGUUGGCCUAUAUAGGUGAGUGUCUAAUCAAUCGUGGAAUGCUCGAUUAGGACUACUGCCCCAAGUUUCUUCGACCAGAACAUUCCAAGGCUUAAAUGUUGAACGCUGUUUUGAAUGGCUGAGAGAAAUGAGGAUGGAGCUGGGAAACUUCUGCAACAGGGUCCCUCCUCAGAUCCUGCUGCUGGCCUUCUGAUUCUG